CGUAUAUUAAAGUUGUUGCGGUUAAAAAGCUCGUAGUUGGAUUUCUUCCAGGGGCAGUCGGUCCACACUAUGUGUGCGUAUCUGAUUUGACUUUGGAAUCCUCUUGGGGAACAUUUGUGCGCUUCAUUGCGUGCUAUGGUAUUCAAGACUUUUACUUUGAGGAAAUUAGAGUGUUCACGGCAGGCAAUCGCCCUGAAUACAUUAGCAUGGAAUAAUAAUAUAGGACUUUGGUUCUAUUUUGUUGGUUUCUAGAGCUAAAGUAAUGAUUAAUAGGGACACUUGGGGGCAUUCGUAUUAUCACGUCAGAGGUGGAAUUCUUGGAUUGUGUUACGACGAACUACUGCGAAAGCAUUUGCCAAGGAUGUUUUCAUUGAUCAAGAACGAAAGUAAGGGGAUCGAAGACGCUUAGAUACCGUCGUAGUCUUUACCAUAAACUAUGCCAACUAGGGAUUGGAGGGCGUUCUUCAUUCGACUCCUUCAGCACCUUAUGAGAAAUCAAAGUUUUUGGGUUCCGGGGGGAGUAUGGUCGCAAGGCUGGAACUUAAAG
This 547-nucleotide ribosomal RNA is filed under the name uncultured marine picoplankton. RNAcentral describes it as "SSU rRNA". It matches the Rfam family "Eukaryotic small subunit ribosomal RNA", at positions 598 to 1149 of the family's 1831-position model. The record is from RNAcentral.